Molecule: non-coding RNA, 354 nt
Organism: Schizosaccharomyces pombe (fission yeast)
Lineage: Eukaryota; Fungi; Ascomycota; Schizosaccharomycetes; Schizosaccharomycetales; Schizosaccharomycetaceae
Source: the annotation of a GenBank genome assembly
AAUCGAGCAAGCACAUUCAAUCUGUCAUGUAAUUGUCUAAAUGUAAAAAUGUAAUAAUAUACCUGAAUACUUUUCGAAAAUUACGAAACUUCAUCAGGAGUCUUGCUAGAAGUUAUUUGGAGAGCAUGAAGGCCGCCAUCAAAUUCAUCUUUUAGUAAUCCAUAAACAAGUCGAUGUCGGGCGACUCUUGACAUCCCGGAGAACUCUGGUGAUACAAUUUCUAAACGGAAAUGAGUCUCAUUUGUGUCUGGUACGCCUUUCAUCGCAAUAUGAUGGCUAUGUUUAUAACUAUCAUUAUACAAGGUAAUCUUGUCUGUUUUCAAGGCUUCUGAAAGCGUUUUAUAAAUACGAUCC